Eriocheir sinensis (Chinese mitten crab) is the source of this 3375-nucleotide long non-coding RNA. RefSeq lists it as uncharacterized. The transcript is spliced from 4 exons. The record is from RefSeq and is a predicted model, not a curated record. Lineage: Eukaryota; Metazoa; Arthropoda; Malacostraca; Decapoda; Varunidae.
AUAGCAGUCUUUCCUCCGUGCUCAGCUGGACACUACCACCGCCCGUUGCACCUGCCAGAACCCUCUACCUGGCCCCCCUCAACACACUCAUUAGUCCGUAACUCACCUGUACUGAAGCUAACCUGGCGUGCUGCACCUUGUCUCGCCUCGCCUCACCUGUGUAACCUAAUUCACCUGGAAGUGGUGUUGGUGGGGAAGUGAUGGAGGACAGGGACGAGAACGGGCGACUGAGACUGCCCCGCAAUGACCGUGUGCCCUUCCAACGAGUCCUCCACAGAACACACCGCAGCUCACGCAAGCUGUCGCCAGAGCAGACCGUUACAAGCAAGUUGGAUCGCCUCAGUCUGCGCUACCGUAAAGACAGGAGUGGUAGCCUCCCAGAAAAGAAGGUGAAUGGCAGAAACUCAGAAGAACGGGAAGGAGGAGGAAGAGGAGGAGCACACUAUGUACCCUUCCAGCGAGUGUUACAUCGGAGGCGAAAGACAUCAUUGCCACAGCCAUCACCACCACCCGAGCCACGGCGCUACAGAACCAGUGGGUUUGCACAUUCGCGGAUUUCCUCCCAAACUGCACAAAAGCGGCAGCAGCAGAAUUUUCGCGGUGUCACUCCAAACAUUUAUAGUCCCAGCGCAAACGAUUAGGCAUUUCCUAAAGCUGGACAUACACUAUCAAUCAUGACUGCACAAUCAUUGGUUUAGGCCACACACUAGUACUGAGACUGUGCAAUCCUCAGUUGUCAGAGCCAUGUCAAGUAAACACUUACAAGACAGCCACUUGAAUUGACAUCAUCCUUGCGCUCGAAGGCUGGGAACGAAAGAAAAGGAAAGAAAAGUUACGGGUUACACGGGGAUUGGUUAUGGGAUUACCCAAUAAUACCCUUCUUCCUUUCUAACACCAAGCCUUUGUUCCUCCUUAACACAUGCCCACAGGGACCGCCUAUCCUGGGACCACCACAGACCUGAAGCCCUUUACAUGGACUCCACUAGAACCAAUAAACACUAUGACGAACACAGGAACCGGAGACCACACACAAGGAAAAAUGACUCCAACCUCAACCAACUCCUUGGCAACCAGCGUGAGGAGGAGGACAGGAGAACAGCAUACAGCAGGAAUAGCUAUGCAGGAGAAAGAGGCAGUGUAGGAGUGGACUCUCCAGCAGCCGGUUCAGAUUCUUCUAUCACCUCUGUCAAGUUCCCACAGAUUCAGGGCUCGUCGCCACAUACGCCCCUUGUGAGUGCUAGGUCAGGCAGGGCAUCGGGAGUGACCUCGGCACUUAGCACUAAACUUGAGUCCCCAGAGUUAUAGCCCGUGUAAGUCUUUUUCUUAUCCCUUAAUUAUGUACAUGUUUGUCAUUGAAUUCAUAGCUUUAUAUGUCAUUGUAUUUAUUUUAGGUCUUUAUAUUUUUCUAUUCCCAGAUCCUCCUUUCAUAGCUUCUUAUACUGUAAAUUCUCUUCCCAGGCCUCAUUUCAUUUCAAUUCCUAGUUUCUUACUUCUAGAACUCUGUAGCUUCUUGUUUUAAAAGCUAUUCUUCAGCCAUUAGUUAUUUUCAACCCGGUAGCAGCGACGGGCCAAAUUUGUGGCUCUACCGUGUACCAGUGACAGGCCAAAUUUUUGCCAUGAUAUAAACCCCCAAAAAUAGAUGAUGCAUAAACUGAUCACAAAUGUGUUGAUAUAUAUUAUGAAAUGGUUUGCGUGAGUGAUGAUUUUUUUUCUCAUUUUUCUUGCUUGGAGGGGCCUUUAAGAAACAUGAUCCCCGCUGCUACUGGGUUAAUAUACUCCCAGUUGCUUAAUUGUUUCACCCUUUAUUUAUAGUUUACUGAGCCUGUAUUCUUAGGCACUUAACUCAUUUAUUUAACCCAUGUUUCUUAGGUUAGGUUAGGUUAAAGGCCCCGCUAAGUAAAAUAAUGAGAAAGAAUCAUCACUCACGCAAACCAUUUCAUGAUAUAUAUUAACACAUGUGUGAUCAGUUUAUGCAUCAUCUAUUUUGGGAGGUUUAUAUCAUGGCAGAAAUUUGGCCCAUCGCUGGUACACGGUAAAGGCACAAAUUUGGCCCGUCGCUGCUACCGGGUUAAUCUACUCCUCAGCCCUCAUCACAGCCACUUUUUCUUUACUCAUAAUCCUUCAACUCUUGGACUCUUCAUUACUGGCAUUUAAGUCACUCUCUCUCUCUCUCUCUCUCUUUCAGCCCAAAUCGUGAGGUCACCAACCCCCUCAAACCGUUCCCUCAAGUCCUCCAGUCACGCUAUGGCUCACAUUGAUAUAUUAUUAAUUCAAAGAUACAUAUCAGAAGUAAGAUAAUUGCUGUGGUGUGGGAAGGUGAAAGGGUGAUGGGGGGAGCAGAGGAGACAUAUGGGAUGAAGGGGUGAUGAGAGAAAAUGAGAUGGGAGAGGUUACUUAUAGGGUUGGGUGCUGAGUGAGGGUGUGAGGGGUGCAAGCAGUGGUGCCAAAUUGUCAUACUCUGAACACUGCAUUAACCAUUUUUUGGAUUCAAGAUUGUCGUAAGCACACAAAUAAUGAUAAAAAAUUAAAGUUAUCGUUAAAACGGUUAAAUACAGAUGGUUUUCGUUCUUUUUGCUAGUUAUAAUCGGUCAGAAACUACGAAAAUGCGAUGCGAUGUGUGCGAUAAUUUGGAAACGCUGGGUGCAAGAGAAUUGUGAAUGGAGCUGAAAAGGGUGAUGAAGCUAUGAGGAGGUGUACAUAGGGAGUGGAUGGUGAGAGGAGAGGGAGCUGUGAGUAAGGCUGAGAGGGCAGUGAGGGGGCAAUGCUCUCCCUGCAAGUUGUGGUGGUUGUCUUUAUCAUCCCCAGCCUUCACAGCAUAACAUAACGAUCCCUCGACCAGCUUUGCCAGUUUGCUGUACUCUGCCUCUUGUGUUUGCCGAUUUCCGACCCCCAAACUGCUCUCAUCACCCAAAUAACUGCCUUCAUAUAUGGUUAUCGUUUAAAUGGUCAAUUAUUGGCGCUUCUUGGCAAAUGGUAAAUACGCGGCUCUGAGUACGAUAAUCUGGCAACCGUGCCCUCAACCAGUCCCCUAACCUUAACUAACAACAAAUUUUUCCUCUGGUCCACCUUCACUAAAUGAGAACUGAAGAAGACAGAAGGAAAGUGAAAAGUAAUGAAAAAAAGCAAAGAGGUAGAAGAAAUGGGUAGAGGUAGAUUUUAAGUAAGGAAGGAUAAAACUUAAGAAUUCCUGUUAACCUAUAUAAUAAUCUUUUCAUAACAACAUUUGGGCAAACAUGGACCACAGCCUAAAAUCAUGUUGGUCUGUUCUGCCCUUUUAUAGCAGCAUCUCAUCAUAAAAUGAAUGUCUGAAUAUGAUUAGACUGUUAAACUUUAUACAUUUAAGAAUGUAACACUCCAGAUAAAGCUAAGAAAACU